Molecule: long non-coding RNA, 384 nt
Filed under: Dromaius novaehollandiae (emu)
Lineage: Eukaryota; Metazoa; Chordata; Aves; Casuariiformes; Dromaiidae
Description: lncRNA (ENSDNVG00000006868.1)
Source: RNAcentral
UUUACUUUCACCCCUUUCUUGCAUGCUUUGAUCCAAGGAGCAGCCUGGCAGAGAGACGCAACUGGAGAGAGAGUCAUCACAGUGCAAAAUACGUGGUUCUUGAAAUCAUGCUAGGAGUUUAACGUGAGGAGCAGAAAUAAUUCCUGCUGAAUCAUCAGGACCCUUUCAUCUUUGCCUGAUCUGCAUGUUUACAAUUACAAGGAAGCCAGAAACAUAAGAACCAUUAGAGAAUUCCCAAUAUGGCAGUGUGCAGGAACAUCUCUGGACCAUUGUGUCCACAGUGGCACAGGAGAACAACCUUCUCCAGAGUCUGUCUGAUGCAGUGAAAUGUCCUGUUUAUUUGAUGGAAGGAAUGAGAAAGGUACUCUACAAAGGAGCAAGGUC